RNAcentral lists this ribosomal RNA (253 nucleotides) under uncultured bacterium. Its description in RNAcentral is "partial 16S ribosomal RNA". It matches the Rfam family "Bacterial small subunit ribosomal RNA", at positions 524 to 776 of the family's 1533-position model. The record is from RNAcentral.
UACGAAGGGGGCUAGCGUUGCUCGGAAUCACUGGGCGUAAAGCGCACGUAGGCGGACUCUUAAGUCGGUGGUGAAAUCCUGGAGCUCAACUCCAGAACUGCCUUUGAUACUGAGGAUCUUGAGUUCGGGAGAGGUGAGUGGAACUGCGAGUGUAGAGGUGAAAUUCGUAGAUAUUCGCAAGAACACCAGUGGCGAAGGCGGCUCACUGGCCCGAUACUGACGCUGAGGCGCGAAAGCGUGGGGAGCAAACAGG